CCGGGAUCCCAGCAUUAGCAAGACUUAGUCUACAUACACGACACCGUCGACUGUGUCACAGUGUGUGUACAGAUCUUUCCACAGUGGCUGCACGCGUCGUCUUUCUUUCGAACAGGAGAGUUGAGAGUUGUUGGUAUUGUGGAGCCGGUAGCCGGUAUGCUGACGGUACGUAGCCCUGUCGUGACCCAGCUCUUCACUCGUACACGCCUGAUCGAGCAAAACUGACAAUAGGAGCAUCGGCUUUGCACUGAGAACGGCGCUGCUGAGCGCUAUUGCGUUAGUACGUAGUAGUGCGAUAGGUGCCGCAUUGUUUUGGCUUGACCAUCGCUAGUAAUACUACAGUACUAGUACUAGUAUCACAACAGCUCACCAAUGACUUGUCCAUGCUACCAUUCGUUCGCUCUUUCAGUCUUUGUGUUGUCUGAGUCUCUGACUCGCUGGUGCACCACCAUCCUGAACAUAACCCCAGUCACCAGUGGUUACUGUAGAGAGUAGCACCAGUCCUGGAGUUACUCAGUUAGCUUGACCCCAGCUAGCUAUGGAUAGCUAUAGUGUAUUAGUGAAGGGGAACAAAAAUAAUUCUGCCUGCUGAAAGGGAGCGGAUAGCGGUUUCUACAUGUAGAUACCAUUGUGCAGUCAGCGUCCAUGUGAGCAUCAUGCCACGGUGUCUUGGCAGCAACGAAUUAUGGCAUACAGUGUGGCUAGUACUAGCUCUACAUCACCGUGAUCACAGGACGGGAGCUUGCACAUACUCCAGCAUAUCGACUGGGAUAGACGUGCUGUAGUGUGAAGGAUGUAUGCCGGCACUCGGACGACGGGGACGGUAUUAUGUAGUACAAAUUGUACAGUAAAACCUGUCAAGGCAACCACUCCGAGAAGGCGACCACCUGUCAAGGCAACCACUCCGAGAAGGCGACCACCUGUCCCAGAUGACCACUGCAACAAGGGCCCAGAAAGCCCCAGAUGACCACUGCAACAAGGGCCCUGUGAUGUUAUUUCUAGUCACAUAAUGAUUCUGGGUAAGGAGACCACCUGUACACAGUGACCGCAUUUUGAAGGUCCCUUGAGUGGUCGGCAGCAGGCAUGUUUCACUGUACAUUGUAUGUGGAUUGUAAUUGUCCCCAAGAUCUGUACAUGUAUGAUCCGGUACAGGGCCAAUGGCAAUGCCUAGCUAUAGCGUGUUGUCUACUUGUACCUGGCCAUGUGUCUUCCAUGUGGGUUGUGAAUCCUAACCCUCUAAGAAUGCAGUCUCGACAAUGGUUUUGAGUGAACAUACAGUAUCACAGCCAGGCAAGUGCCAGGGCAAUGCUGAGCCUAUCAGUUCUGAACUUCAUUCCUUGGCUGCAACCGUCCUUGCACUUGCAGGACGGGAAUCUUUGCUUCUACUAAGUAUUACUAUUAGUUCUAGGUUUAGCAGAGAUGGAAGUGAGCGCAUUCCUGAGUGAACAUGGUAGCAAAUGACGGUGCCCAGUUCCUGGUUACCAUGACAACUCCACUAUGAGUGUGUAUGGUAUGGUAUGGUAUUGAUUUAUUUGUAUUCACGGAACAUACAUGUACAUACUCUUCACAGACGCGCCAUUCACGCUCUCAACGCCGUUUGGUACGAUGUA
Sycon ciliatum is the source of this 1610-nucleotide long non-coding RNA. RefSeq lists it as uncharacterized. NCBI's taxonomy places the organism in Eukaryota, Metazoa, Porifera, Calcarea, Leucosolenida, Sycettidae. The record is from RefSeq and is a predicted model, not a curated record. The transcript has 2 exons.